AUUGAACGCUGGCGGCAGGCCUAACACAUGCAAGUCGAGCGGAUGACGGGAGCUUGCUCCUUGAUUCAGCGGCGGACGGGUGAGUAAUGUCUAGGAAUCUGCCUGGUAGUGGGGGACAACGUUUCGAAAGGAACGCUAAUACCGCAUACGUCCUACGGGAGAAAGCAGGGGACCUUCGGGCCUUGCGCUAUCAGAUGAGCCUAGGUCGGAUUAGCUAGUUGGUGGGGUAAUGGCUCACCAAGGCGACGAUCCGUAACUGGUCUGAGAGGAUGAUCAGUCACACUGGAACUGAGACACGGUCCAGACUCCUACGGGAGGCAGCAGUGGGGAAUAUUGGACAAUGGGCGAAAGCCUGAUCCAGCCAUGCCGCGUGUGUGAAGAAGGUCUUCGGAUUGUAAAGCACUUUAAGUUGGGAGGAAGGGCAGUAAGCUAAUACCUUGCUGUUUUGACGUUACCGAUAGAAUAAGCACCGGCUAACUCUGUGCCAGCCGCCGCCGUAA
Molecule: ribosomal RNA, 500 nt
Filed under: uncultured bacterium
Lineage: Bacteria
Description: partial 16S ribosomal RNA
Rfam family: Bacterial small subunit ribosomal RNA
Source: RNAcentral